CCGGUUAAAGUUGCAAUACCGAUUUGCCUCGAUCAGCUGUGAGGCUGCGUCUGGUGGUUGAUACGGCCACUGGAACUUCACAAUGCAUGUAUACGAGAUCGGAUGGCAGAAAACAAAGAUGGAUGAGUGAGGAUGAGACUUCCCAGCUCAGUCCUAGUGUCGGUCUCUUUUUUUACGGCCGAGACGACGGCUGCUCUUUAUCUGAGCACCACAUAUCGCUCCGAUGGUGAUAAGAUUUGGCAGUGUUUGACGCUCCUCUUCACGAUUGUGCCAUCCGUGCUGGUCCAGCUCACACUGAUCUUUAUUCACAGAGACCUGAGUAGAGACAGACCUCUAGUGCUGCUGCUUCAUAUAUUACAACUAGGGCCAAUAAUCCGGUGCCUAGAUGCCUUCUGUAUCUAUGGCAGCGCUGGAAAGGUGGAGGAGCCAUAUGUCACCAUCACUCGAAAGAAGCAGAUGCCCCAGGAGGGGCAGACAGAGGAGGUGGAACAGGAAGUGGGGCAGGUAGAGGGGAAGCUAGUCACUCACCGCGCAGCUUUCGCCAGGACCUCCGUCAUACAGGCCUUUCUGGGUUCUGCACCCCAACUCACACUGCAGCUCUAUAUCUGCGUGCUGCAGAAAGGGGUGUCUAUUGGUAGAGGGACAUUGAUGGUCAUUUCCCUUCUCUCUAUUGUAUACGGAGCCUUGCGUUGCAACAUUCUGGCUAUAAAGAUACGCUACGACGACUAUGAAGUCUCCGUCCGGCCGUUGGCGUACGUGUGUGUGUUCCUGUGGCGAGGGUUUGAGAUCGCCACACGUGUGGCCGUGCUGGUCCUCUUCAGCUCCGUGUUGAAAGUGUGGGUGCUUCCGGUAGUUGCUGCCAACUUCAUCCUGUUCUUUCUGUUCCCGUGGGUUCUCUUCUGGAGCAGUCGUUCUCCGUUUCCGGAGAACAUCGAGAAGACGUUGACACGCGUGGGCACCACUAUCGUACUCUGCAUGCUUACCUUCCUGUAUGCGGGCAUCAAUGUGUUCUGCUGGUCCGCCGUUCAGCUCAAACUGGAUGAUCCUGAUCUGAUUGAUAAAGGCCAGGUGUGGAGGCGGGUUGCAGCGUACUACUCCCUCCGUUUCGUGGAGAACACGGGGCUGAUAGUGAUGUGGUAUAUCCACCGGACUGAGUUCUACCAAUGGGUGGAUGCCCCUGUGUUGGAACUUCUGCUGCUGUUGGGUUAUGCCACGGCUCUGUUCUUUAUGUUGCUGUUUUACCAGUUUUGCCACCCAUGCCGGCAGCUGUUUUCAUCCAAUCCAGCCCAAGGUUUCUGGAAGUGCUGUGGAUCCCUUUGCCUGCUCUGUGGACCACUUUCCCAUUCCAGCUCCAUGAGGACCAAGCCCUUGUCAGAGCCACCAGGGAAAGACGUUGGAGACGACCCACCCUGUUUGACAGUCUGAGUAAACAAUUUAAGCACAUUGUCGUUAAGUGCCGCAAAAGGAUAAAAGGCCAAUGAAAAUGCAAACAAGCCAGCAUGGUCCAUUGAAGUGCAUGUGAAAAUCCUUAAUAAGAUGAGAAUGAAAUUGCUGCUUUCGUCAUGUGAUGUGGGGGCAAACUGUCUCUCCUUCUUUCAGUGUCUGUUUAAUUAUCGUUACAAUUUCUGUGCUCUCUGUGCCUGCAUUAUUUGUCAACAUUGUCUCAUUGAAUCACAUUACUGUACAUACAUUUUUGCAAAAUUAUUUUUAUGUGGCUCGUUCUAUGUAUCAACGUGCAACAACAGCGACUUUUAUUCACUUUCACACAAAUCACGAGGAAAAUGGCAGAUUAUCAGUUCAUAAACACUAACUCUUCACUCUGUUCCUUAAACAAUGCUUUCUUAUGACAUCUAAACACUAUAAUGCAUGACUUUAAAAGCGAUAUAUUACAACAUUUACAUUCCAUUCCAUACAUUACAAAACUACAUUUACAAGCUUAUUCAAAUGCAGUCAAAUUGCUCGAUAGCUCAAUUUAUAGGGUGAUAUACUUGCAAUGCAAAAGACCAGGGUACGAGUCCAGCAAAGCACACGAGUCAAGGAAGCUGUCAUAGAUGUGCCACAAAAUGACGUGGUUGCUUCAGCAAUUGCGUUUUACAUUUCGCAUUUGCUUUUUAUUACACUAACCGGGAGGUUUAGGUUAACCGUUUAGCACUGUUCGGUCAUUUUUGACCGAAAUCAGUUUCGUUUCUGUAAUAAAAAUGGUAUCCUUCUUCUGAUUGGCUCGAGGCUUGGUUACUUUUCCUACAUUUGGACUGGAUUCGAUUAGUUUUGGCCACGUGACAAAAAAGUGACACUUGUGUUGUUUGCGGUCAAAUUUGACCGAUCAUAGGAAAUGAAUUGGGCGAGAGUAUAACACAGAGAAAUUUUUUGGGGGGGAAUUUGUAAAAUACAAUCAAUAAUUCAGCCACAAUACAGAACACACACAGACAGAAAUUAAGGGGUGAGACUAUAACACAGAGCCAUUUUGUUUGGAAUUUGUCAAAUAAAAUCAGAUAUUCAGCCACAAUGCAGAACACACACACACACACACACACACACAAAUUAAUGGGUGAGACCAUAACGCAACCACAAUGCAGAACACACACACACACACACACACACACACAAAAUCAUCUUGUUACAACCAGGAAUGAAUUAGUGGAUCUCUGCUGCCAUCUAAUGGUUAUUUUUGUCAUUACAUGAUUUUCAAGUCAUAUAAUUGUUCUUUUUUUUUUUUUUUUUUUUUUUGCACCAGAUGGCAGCAAUCUGCCCUAAUACAUUACACGUCCUAAUAUUUUCUUCAUGUUUCAACUUUUUUAUAUAUAUAUAUAUAUACAUUUAUUGUUUUCGGUCAAAUCUGACAGCUCUAAGGGAUCUAAGCAGUUUGGAAAAGUGGAGAAAAUGACCAUAAUUGCCAAAUUUCAAGGAAAUGAUUUGUCAGGGGCAAAGUAAUUUUAUUGCUAAGUACUUUAGUAGGUAGUCCAUCAACCAUUUUAGGCUUUCCAAAAAAACCUGCAAAAAAAAAAAAAGAAGAAGAUGAGGAAGUGUUUGUGAGAACAUUUAACACAUUUUUAGUGCCACACAAGGGAUUUUCGACCUUGAAACUGCUGCGAUACAUGUAAUGAACCACGUAAUGUCAUUUUGCAUAAAUGUUGCCACAUUCACAGUAAUCUUCCUUAGAUUGGGCUGUUAUUUUAGGAACUGAUUUGUUUAAAAGAUUGUAUUUGCUUAAAGGUGCUCUCAGUAACCUUUGUCUUUGUGUCAUCUUGGACUUACACCAGAGGCGGACUGGCCAUUGGGAGAACCGGGACUUUUCCCGGUGGGCCGGCCACGAAAUGGGGUCACGAUAUGUCAAAGUGGGUCACGAUAUGAUGAAGGGGGCCGCGGAACGAUGCUGCAAUAUGCCGAAGGGGACAGUGAAACACAUUGCCACACCCCCCAAUGGUCGACAACUUCACAUCGCUCGAUACAUUUCUCCAGGGCUGAUUUUUGUUCCCAGUCCACCCCUGACUUACACUGACACCUAGUGGCUUGGAUGCAGCAUAAUUUAAUAUCAAUAGUUUUCAGUUUCAGAUGCUAUUGUAGAAAUGUAGUUUCGACAGUCAGCCAAGAUUACUUUAAUCAGUGAGUGAAAGUGUCAAAUAACAGGACGGUUACUGAGAUUAAGCGAGUAGUAUUCAGCUGGUCAUGUGAUUCCAACAUGGCCGCCCCCAUAUGUGGACCCUCUCCAUGUAGAAUAAAACAGCUUUUAUAAGGUUACUGAUAUGACUGGAGUCUUCGUUUUAAUGCGAGUGCUCAUGAUUUCCUACAUAUAUUCAAAAUUACAGUUCAUGUCGUUAGAAGUUCAACUUCUUUAAUGAGGAAAAAAGUACUGAGUGCACCUUUAAGUUAUAAGCCUUUUGUUUGUCUUCACUUUUUAAGGGUGUUGCUUUCUGGAAUUGUUUUUGACAGCUUCUUAGGUUCAUUGUUAAUGCUUCCUUUAAGUUCAUCUUGUUAUUGUUGCCACACUCAUACACACAGAAUACCAAAAUAGUAUGAUUAACACAAACUUACUGCCAAAAUGUAAGUAAUUGCCUCAAAUGCUUUUAAAAUGUGAUAUAUUGUGAAGAUUACAGUUUGGAGGUUUGCCAGAGCAUUCAUAAUCCUGCAAUGAAUGUUUUAAUUGUAUAAAGGAAUAGUUCAGCACCAAAUAUUUGUCAUUAAUUACUGGUUAUUUUUUCCUGUGGAGUGCAAAAUGAGAAUUCCUUACAGAGCUCUUUUCCAUAGUGGUUUUGAACGACAUGAGGGUUAAGAAACAUUUUGGGGCAAACUUUUCCUUUAUGUAAUUUUCUUUUCCUUCUUUGUUUACACUCACAUUUAGCAUUCUUUUGCACACUAUUCUUUACCAUUUUUUCUGCAAGGAGUACAAAAAAAUAUUUGUUUUCACAAAGGGAAGUAUAUGAUUGUAUCCUAACUUUACUGCCGCCCUGUGGGGAGCCGAAUGGCUUGAGUUUCUUAAUUUUGCAAGACUUUGUGAUGAGGGUUUGUUCUGGAAACCCCCUCAAAACACCACCAUAAGCACUGUAUAGAGCACAUCACUGCUUCUGAUAUGUGCAACUGUCAGCAAAAUCCAUACUAAAUAAAAGGAGAAUGAUAUUUUAUCCAUGAUAUUCCUGACAGUUUCAUUGUAUUCUUUUAUUUCGUGUUGACGUGAGACUCAAGUUUCUCCUCGUUGCAACAGGAACUAUAUUUCCUACCUCUGUUAGAACUCACUUUUAUAAAUGUAUAGUUAAAUGUACAGUCAUAGAUAAAAAAAGGAAACAUAUAACCAUAACAAUUCU
RNA transcript from Myxocyprinus asiaticus (Chinese sucker), 4799 nucleotides. It is a transcript of the gene named X-linked Kx blood group (McLeod syndrome), with no coding region annotated. NCBI's taxonomy places the organism in Eukaryota, Metazoa, Chordata, Actinopteri, Cypriniformes, Catostomidae. The transcript has 4 exons. The record is from RefSeq and is a predicted model, not a curated record.